RNAcentral lists this ribosomal RNA (35 nucleotides) under Trebouxia gelatinosa. Its description in RNAcentral is "18S ribosomal RNA". Lineage: Eukaryota; Viridiplantae; Chlorophyta; Trebouxiophyceae; Trebouxiales; Trebouxiaceae. The record is from RNAcentral.
AGGUUUCCGUAGGUGAAACUGCGGAAGGAUCAUUG